This 1886-nucleotide long non-coding RNA is filed under the name Gallus gallus (chicken). Its description in RNAcentral is "lncRNA (ENSGALG00010004911.1)". Lineage: Eukaryota; Metazoa; Chordata; Aves; Galliformes; Phasianidae. The record is from RNAcentral.
CUGGAGUGCAAAAACACCUAAGGCCUUCCUGGAGAAAGCUCUAUGGAGUAGAAGCACUGUAGAUGAGUGAUAUUUCUUCAACCAUCUGCUCCUUCCGCACUCACACGAGGGCAGGCCAGCUCCAUGUGAGUGCAGUGAUAGCAGAACCCGGAGCAAGGGCCAUCUAUAUGAGAAUCUUAUCCUUCAAGCUGUAAUCAGAGCGUUCCAGGAGAGAUGUGGAUGCUGUACCUUUGAUUUAAGCCUUCUGACAAGCCUUGGAUGCUCCUCCCUUGCCUCUCAUGUGGAUUCCUAACAGGCAGCCCAUAGCCACCUAGCAAUCUACAAUGUAAAAUUAUCACCAUCUACUACUCCAAUAGCCAAAGGCCCAGUGGGAAGCUGCCCUGCGGACCUUGGGAUUUUUCUAUUCCUAGUCAAGGGAGAAACAAAUACCACCACCCAGCACACCUCCCAGGCUGCGUGCUUUGCUAUAUGGUGUAUGAUUUCACAAGAGCCUUCCAUAAGCUGUACGGAGCAGUGACACCUUUAACAACCAUAAAGACUGCCGGGGCACCAGCAGCAUUUAGGUGGCUGUAAAUGAUGCACACCACCACGAGAAACGUUUCUUUCCCUGAGGCACCAGAUGGCAGCAUUUUUCCUCUCUGAAAGUGUGAUCCCUUCUCAGAUUCACUUUCUGGGACCACCACAUAGGGCUGCGCGGCUGCGGAGGCCACAAAGGCCUCAACUGAACCGGACCUUCUCUGUCAUCGCCUGCUUUGUGGGAACCCUUCAGUCACACAUCCCUAAACCCUACGUUUUCCCCUCACUCUCAUGUCCUUGCUCAUAAAUGCAGUGCUGCUUUACCACUGCUUUUUGUCACAGGAAAAGAAAAGAGAGAAAAUCAUCCAUGUCAGCUGCAGCAAGCUCUGUUCCUAAGGCACUCACCUUUGGCCUGCAGCGCUAUGGGACAAAUGUGUUUGCACGAGUUGUAUGACUUACGGCUUCGGUGGACAGCAGAAGAAAGGCUGUUUAUGCACAAAAGGGAUGGGUUGGCCCUGGGGGCUGAGGGAGGAGCAGCUCUGGCUUUCUUUUUCUUUUCUUUCUUUCUUUCUUUUUUUUUGCUGUCUGCUUUACUCUGUGGUGAUGUGGUGUAUCUGCUGUGGUUAGUUGCUGUGUCACUGCUUUACAGAUGCUAUGAGCUCACCAGUGGACAAUUUGUGGGUUCUUUAACUUCUGACGAGCAGCCAGUUGUUUUUCUAAAGAGCAUGUGACGAGGGAUUUUCUAAUUUUUCAGCUUUCAGCCAAAUUCAGUGGGAGUGCCAUAGGACAGGGAAGUGGUGGUGGACCCUUCUCAACUCCACCCUUCUUACUUAAUACCAAAAACUUAUCUAUAAACAGGCAAGAGGGAGGGAAGAGCGUUCCUCAAAGCGAGCCAAAAGAAUCCUGUACAAUGACAACGUUAAACUGAGAUUUGUGGAAAACAGUGCUAUUUUCUUUGGUUAAAAAUAUUCUAAUGAAAAAAAGCCCUCAAUGUUUUUUCGCUUUCUCGUGCCAGUUUCUUUCCAGUUUUGGAUUUGUCUGCCCAUUGGUUUCAGUUACAUCAUGCGAACAAGACGGACUCAGCUUUACUGCCCAAGAUAGGCAAUAUGUGUGCAGUAGAAAUACACUGGAAAUUCACCUGAAAGCUGAGUAGAAUUUCAUCACUUCAAGUCAAUCGUACAGAUAUUAUCUUCCUUUUAAAUAAAGAGGGAUAAUAUUUUUAAAUGCACCUCCACAGCUUAUAAUGAUCAGUGCGAUUCCUUAUGUGCACUUGCUUUACAAAGUGGAAGAAAACACCCAUUUUUUGUCUAAUUAUAGUUCUGGAGUUGCUAACUAGCACCUUCUCUGAGAAACAGUUGCCUGUGAUGAGC